UAACAAAACUAUUCGCCAGAGUACUACUCGCAACUGCCUAAAACUCAAAGGACUUGGCGGUGCUUCACAUCCACCUAGAGGAGCCUGUUCUAUAAUCGAUAAACCCCGAUAGACCUUACCAACCCUUGCCAAUUCAGCCUAUAUACCGCCAUCUUCAGCAAACCCUAAAAAGGAACAAUAGUAAGCACAAUCAUAACACAUAAAAACGUUAGGUCAAGGUGUAGCUUAUGGGUUGGAAAGAAAUGGGCUACAUUUUCUACAUAAGAACACCCAAUACGAAAGUUUUUAUGAAACUAAAAACCAAAGGAGGAUUUAGCAGUAAAUCAAGAAUAGAGUGCUUGAUUGAAUAAGGCCAUGAAGCACGCACACACCGCCCGCCACCCU
Molecule: ribosomal RNA, 384 nt
Filed under: Sus scrofa cristatus
Lineage: Eukaryota; Metazoa; Chordata; Mammalia; Artiodactyla; Suidae
Description: partial 12S ribosomal RNA
Rfam family: Bacterial small subunit ribosomal RNA
Source: RNAcentral